RNAcentral lists this ribosomal RNA (468 nucleotides) under uncultured bacterium. RNAcentral describes it as "partial 16S ribosomal RNA". It matches the Rfam family "Bacterial small subunit ribosomal RNA", at positions 28 to 507 of the family's 1533-position model. The record is from RNAcentral.
GACGAACGCUGGCGGCGUGCUUAACACAUGCAAGUCGAACGGAAAGGCCCUGCUUUUGUGGGGUGCUCGAGUGGCGAACGGGUGAGUAACACGUGAGUAACCUGCCCUUGACUUUGGGAUAACUUCAGGAAACUGGGGCUAAUACCGGAUAGGAGCUCCUGCUGCAUGGUGGGGGUUGGAAAGUUUCGGCGGUUGGGGAUGGACUCGCGGCUUAUCAGCUUGUUGGUGGGGUAGUGGCUUACCAAGGCUUUGACGGGUAGCCGGCCUGAGAGGGUGACCGGCCACAUUGGGACUGAGAUACGGCGCAGACUCCUACGGGGGGCAGCGGUGGGGAAUAUUGCACAAUGGGCGGAAGCCUGAUGCAGCAACGCCGCGUGCGGGAUGACGGCCUUCGGGUUGUAAACCGCUUUCGCCUGUGACGAAGCGUGAGUGACGGUAAUGGGUAAAGAAGCACCGGCUAACUACGUG